GCGCCCGUAGCUCAGCAGGAUAGAGCGGCGGUUUCCUAAACCGCAGGUCAGGGGUUCGAAUCCUCUCGGGCGUACCA
RNAcentral lists this transfer RNA (77 nucleotides) under Candidatus Brocadiia bacterium. RNAcentral describes it as "Candidatus Brocadiae bacterium (aquatic metagenome) tRNA-Arg". It matches the Rfam family "tRNA". Rfam says of the family: Transfer RNA (tRNA) molecules are approximately 80 nucleotides in length. Their secondary structure includes four short double-helical elements and three loops (D, anti-codon, and T loops). Further hydrogen bonds mediate the characteristic L-shaped molecular structure. tRNAs have two regions of fundamental functional importance: the anti-codon, which is responsible for specific mRNA codon recognition, and the 3' end, to which the tRNAs corresponding amino acid is attached (by aminoacyl-tRNA synthetases). tRNAs cope with the degeneracy of the genetic code in two manners: having more than one tRNA (with a specific anti-codon) for a particular amino acid; and 'wobble' base-pairing, i.e. permitting non-standard base-pairing at the 3rd anti-codon position. The record is from RNAcentral. Lineage: Bacteria; Pseudomonadati; Planctomycetota; Candidatus Brocadiia.